This 439-nucleotide ribosomal RNA is filed under the name uncultured bacterium. RNAcentral describes it as "partial 16S ribosomal RNA". It matches the Rfam family "Bacterial small subunit ribosomal RNA", at positions 339 to 795 of the family's 1533-position model. The record is from RNAcentral.
CUACGGGGCGCAGCAGUAGGGAAUCUUAGACAAUGGGGGAAACCCUGAUCUAGCCAUGCCGCGUGAGUGAUGAAGGCCUUAGGGUUGUAAAGCUCUUUCGCUGGGGAAGAUAAUGACGGUACCCAGUAAAGAAACCCCGGCUAACUCCGUGCCAGCAGCCGCGGUAAUACGGAGGGGGUUAGCGUUGUUCGGAAUUACUGGGCGUAAAGCGCGCGUAGGCGGGCGAUUAAGUCAGGGGUGAAAUCCCGGGGCGCAACCCCGGAACUGCCUUUGAUACUGGUAGUCUUGAGUUCGAGAGAGGUGAGUGGAAUUCCGAGUGUAGAGGUGAAAUUCGUAGAUAUUCGGAGGAACAUCAGUGGCGAAGGCGACUCACUGGCUCGAUACUGACGCUGAGGUGCGAAAGUGUGGGGAGCAAACAGGAUUAGAUACCCGUGUAGUC